GACGAACGCUGGCGGCGUGCCUAAUACAUGCAAGUUGAGCGCUGAAGGUUGGUACUUGUACCAACUGGAUGAGCAGCGAACGGGUGAGUAACGCGUGGGGAAUCUGCCUUUGAGCGGGGGACAACAUUUGGAAACGAAUGCUAAUACCGCAUAAAAACUUUAAACACAAGUUUUAAGUUUGAAAGAUGCAAUUGCAUCACUCAAAGAUGAUCCCGCGUUGUAUUAGCUAGUUGGUGAGGUAAAGGCUCACCAAGGCGAUGAUACAUAGCCGAACUGAGAGGGGGAUCGGCCACAAUGGGACCGAGACACGGCCCAAACGCCUACGGGAGGCAGCAGGAGGGAAUCUUCGGCAAUGGACGAAAGUCUGACCGAGCAACGCCGCGGGAGGGAAGAAGGGUUUCGGAUCGUAAAACUCUGUUGGUAGAGAAGAACGUUGGUGAGAGUGGAAAGCUCAUCAAGUGACGGUAACUACCCAGAAAGGGACGGCUAACUACGUG
Molecule: ribosomal RNA, 497 nt
Filed under: uncultured bacterium
Lineage: Bacteria
Description: partial 16S ribosomal RNA
Rfam family: Bacterial small subunit ribosomal RNA
Source: RNAcentral